Xenopus laevis (African clawed frog) is the source of this 681-nucleotide long non-coding RNA. RefSeq lists it as uncharacterized. The transcript has 3 exons. The record is from RefSeq and is a predicted model, not a curated record. Lineage: Eukaryota; Metazoa; Chordata; Amphibia; Anura; Pipidae.
UAGUAAUAAUAAUAAACAUAGAUAUUGUUGCAGGUGCUAUUAACUCCUAACUAUGCCAUUGUUACAAUCUGCCCUGACCAAUAGUCACUGGCUGGGGUAUCAGCAGAGGUGGAGGAGUUGUGUGCCCAGAUAAUGGUUCUGUGGGAUUUCUCUAUCCAUAGGGGCGGCACAUUUGGGAAAGACGAACCAAUAAUAUCAUAGGACAUUCAUUUUCGUAUGAUAUUCAGUGCGUGUGUAUGGUGGGAUAUGAGCCGACCAUUAAUGGCAGAAGACUUGGAUAUUGAUCGGCUUGUCGAUCAGCCCAGGCGGAAAAUUUUAGAUCCUUUGAAGGCACCUGAGCAUCGGCCAUUGUUAGUGCUGAAUCAUCAGAUACAGAUUUCCCACUAAAGGAGCCAGAAGUAUCACAAACAAAAGAAGAGCUGGACUCUGAAGAUCAACUGAUUCCAAUGGGAAAGUCAACUGUUUCACUUACUGACAGGGGGGAGGAAACCGUCACUGCUGAGGAAAAACUGGAGAACACAGAGCUGCAAGAAGAUUUUCCUUGGAUGAACCCUCUUCUAACACAACAAAACAUUCAGCCAAGGGAAAAACCAUUUAAGUGCACAGAAUGUGGGAAAGGUUUCCUUCACAAUCGCUCACUUCUGUCUCACCAAGCAACAAUUCAUAAAGGGCUCAAACCUU